CUUGACCGAGCCGAGCCACAACGGCUCGUCGUCCGGGCGAUUACGGCCGUAGGUGGCCAACAGCGCCUGCGCCUC
This 75-nucleotide antisense RNA is filed under the name Amycolatopsis xylanica. RNAcentral's name for it is "ASpks TB sRNA". It matches the Rfam family "ASpks TB sRNA". The record is from Rfam by way of RNAcentral. Lineage: Bacteria; Bacillati; Actinomycetota; Actinomycetes; Pseudonocardiales; Pseudonocardiaceae.